This 386-nucleotide unclassified non-coding RNA is filed under the name soil metagenome. RNAcentral's name for it is "partial contains 5.8S ribosomal RNA, internal transcribed spacer 2, and large subunit ribosomal RNA". The stretch from base 3 to 121 matches the Rfam family "5.8S ribosomal RNA", at positions 38 to 154 of the family's 154-position model. The record is from RNAcentral.
GAGAAGAACGUAGCGAAAUGCGAUAAGUAAUGUGAAUUGCAAAAUUCAGUGAAUCAUCGAAUCUUUGAACGCACCUUGCACCCUUUGGACUGCUCCAAAGGGUAUGCUCGUUUGAGUGUCAUUGUACUCUCACACUCUCUGAUCCUUUGGAUUUGGGGAGCAGUGGACUUGGGUGCUUGCUGCUUCCUUGUGGCUCACCUGAAAUGCAUCAGUGCAUCUCUCGAUUGGACAUAGUACGGCGUGAUAAGUGUCUUCGCCGGCACCUCAUAUGAGGGUGGCCGAUCGGGAGCUCUGUGCUUUCAAACCGUCUUCGGACAACGCUGACAACUUGACCUCAAAUCGAGUAGGACUACCCGCUGAACUUAAGCAUAUCAAUAAGCGGAGGA